This 374-nucleotide ribosomal RNA is filed under the name uncultured organism. RNAcentral describes it as "partial 16S ribosomal RNA". It matches the Rfam family "Bacterial small subunit ribosomal RNA", at positions 527 to 896 of the family's 1533-position model. The record is from RNAcentral.
GUAGGUGGCAAGCGUUAUCCGGAAUUAUUGGGCGUAAAGCGCGCGCAGGUGGUUCUUUAAGUCUGAUGUGAAAGCCCCCGGCUCAACCGGGGAGGGUCAUUGGAAACUGGGGAACUUGAGUGCAGGAGAGGAAAGUGGAAUUCCACGUGUAGCGGUGAAAUGCGUAGAUAUGUGGAGGAACACCAGCGGCGAGGGCGACUUUCUGGCCUGUAACUGACACUGAGGCGCGAAAGCGUGGGGAGCAAACAGGGAUUAGAUACCCUGGUAGUCCACGCCGUAAACGAUGAGUGCUAAGUGUUGGGGGGGUUUCCCGCCCCUCAGUGCUGCAGCUAACGCAUUAAGCACUCCGCCUGGGGAGUACGGUCGCAAGACUG